This 45-nucleotide ribosomal RNA is filed under the name Colletotrichum siamense. Its description in RNAcentral is "partial 28S ribosomal RNA". Lineage: Eukaryota; Fungi; Ascomycota; Sordariomycetes; Glomerellales; Glomerellaceae. The record is from RNAcentral.
GUUGACCUCGGAUCAUGUAGGAUGACCCGCUGAACUUAAGCAUAU